GGUUCCGGCUGGGGCCAACCAGAGAAGGCGCGAGGAUGAUGAUGACAGUAUUUAUUGAGCGCUUGUAUAUGCUAAGCGCAUUGCAUGGGUUACUCUCGUCUCCUGCGUAAAACUCUCCAAGGGCUGCGCACUGCUUUGGGGACAAUUCCAAGUUCCCCACGGUGCCCAAAAACGCUCUCCAUCAUCUAGCCCAGCCUGCCUCUCUCACUUCAUCCUGGUUUACUCAGCCACACUGGAUUUCCCUUUGUACCGCGAAGCUCCCUUUGGACCCAAGACCCUUGCUCUUCUCUCUGUAUCAGAGUUUCUCAACUUUGCCACUAUGGACGUUCGGGACUAGAUAAGUUUUUGGUGUAGGGGCUGUCCUAUGCAUUGUAGGAUAUGGGGCAGCAUCCCUGGCCUUUACCCACUAGUUGCCAGAACGAUCUCCCCCCACCUCCCUAGUUAUGGCUACCAGAAAUCCCCAGGCGUUGCCAAAUGUGGAGCGGUGGUAGAGACAUGAAAUCAGCAGAGCUGAGGACCACUGCUACGCGUGGAAGCCCACGUCAUCCGAGCAUCCAUGGCAGGCAGUCCCUCAGCGCAGUCAACCCAUUCGGUGUUGCAGCCCACCUUCCUGCAAAGUCGCUGUCGGUGAAAUGGCUGUGUUGUGUUUUCUUCAUAGUUCCAGCUCUUUGAAAUCCUGCUUCUUAUUUAGUGCUUGCCGUGUGUUGUCUGGGGUCUCCGUUUAGGCUCCAAACAGCAUGGCCCCCUGUGUUUUCUUCACUACUCCACUGUCUGCCCCUCCCAGAGCUAGAGGCUAGGUGCUCCAUGUUUGUGGAAUGAAUACAUUAGGUAUCUCAUUUAAUCUUCACAAGAUCUCUUUGCGGUAAGCAUGAUUGCUCUUUCCAUUUUACAAAUCUGGAAGCUGAAACUCUGGGGGAUUAGGUUAAUUUAUCCUGGGAUACCUAUGGGGAAAGCUGGGAUUUCAACCCAGACAGUCAGACUGCAGGACCCAGAUCUCUUAAUCACUCCAAGAAUCCACAGCCGGCAGGAUGUUAGAAACAUCCGGGCCCCUCACUUCCCGCAGGAGAAGAGGAGACCCAGAGAGCUGAAGUUCUAAAGUCGUUCAGCUAGAGAAUGGGAAAGUAAGAUUAAAAUCUGGCUUUCUUGCUUGCCAAGGCUAGCCUCCAGAUUUCCCAUGAAAGUGACUGGGUGAAUCAACCAAUGAGACUUCAUAUUAAUAUAAUACUGUUAAUAAUAAUUAAUGUUUUUAAUAUUAAAAGAAAGGGAUUGACAGAUUUUGGAUAGGUUAAUGGAUUUUUUUAACUUUCUGUUAUGGAAAAUAUCAAACACCUCUGAGCCCAUGGCCCACCUUCAACAAUUAUCAGCUCAAUGCUAAUGUGCUUUAUCCAUACUCUCGCCAUCCUCCCAUCCCUCCUCCUAUUAUUUUGAAGCAAAUCCUAAAUAUCAUAUCAUUCAUCUGCAUAUAUUUUAGUCUGUAUUGCUAAAAAAAUAAGAACCUUCUCUUUUUUAAACUUAGCCACAAUACCAUUAGCACACCUAAAAAAUGAACAAUAAUUCCUUAAAAUCAUCAAAUAUCCCAUGAGUGUUCAACUUUCCAAUGAUCUCAUCAAUGUUUAAAAAAGAUUGUUACAGUUUGUUUGACUCCACACAUUGCAGUUCAUAAUAUGUCUCAUAAAGUCUCUUUUAGUCUAUGAGUUUCCCCUCCAUCUCCUUUUUUCUUUGCUUUUUUUUAAGGAACUGGGCCAUUUGUCAUCUUGUUUUCCAUAGUCUCUGUCAUUUAACGUUUUUCUCUAUCCACUCUAUUUCCUAAAAGUUUGUUGUUGGAUCUAGCUCACUCGUAUCCAGUUCAAUUUUUUGGCAAAAUUUUAUUUCUUUGUGUUCUUCCAUCAGGAGGCACAUAGUGGUGGGGAGGAGUCUUUCUAUCUUUUUAUGAUAUUAGCAGCCAUUGUUAAAGUCUAGAUUCAUUAAUGUUGAUAUUAUAACUCUGUCAUUCCUUCUUCAUUUAUCUGCUGAAACAUUUCCAUAAAGAAAAGCUUCCCCUCAGCUACUGUUUAGCACAGUUCAUGUCAGAAAGGCAGGAUAAAUGUUUGAUGCCUUUCCUUUACUCACAAAUUUUCAAAAUUAUGUGUUCACAAUGGUGAUCAGUAUUUUUUCAGUGUCAUUACCAACUCAAGAAUUUAAACAUAUUUGAUAUAUUUCAUGUCCUUGGUGCUUACAUUGUCUCAGGAUUGGCCAAUGGGAGCCUCUUAAAGUCAGCUCUGUGUCUUUCUGAUGAGACCCUUGACUUAAGGUCAACUAGAAUGCCACUGCAGGAGGGCCCUGGGCUGUUUCGGAGAUAAGAGCAAUGAAAUGUCCAGUCCUGGACUGAUCAAAACAGGAGGCUUACUUACCAGGCCCACUCUGGCUAAAUAUAAGACAGCAGUCUCUUAUUCGUCACCAACAAACACACUUAACCUCUAGCCAAUGGCUUAUUUGUUGGUUUCUAUAUUUGUAAUGCUCACUUGUCAUUUGUAUGUCUUCUGGUUGUUCAUCUCUCCAUGGUCUAUUAACGUCUCUUAAAGGCCACAAUCAGAAGGCGUGACUGUAGCACCUUGUGCACAUAGUUAUUAAACUAAGUAGUUGUUUUAUUAUCGUGUUGUUGUUGUUUAAAGAGGCAGGAGAAGGUAUUUCCAGACUAUCGAUCUGUAGAAGGGUGAAGUUCAAGUGAAGUCUAAAAUGUUUUCCCCAAGGAGAGAUGAGAGUCCAUAUAACCUGCUGAAUUUUGUUUUUUUCAUAUCCCGUAUAAUAUCAAGGUAGGGUUUUACUUUUAAAAAUGUCAAGGCAAGUUUGCAGUGUGUCCAGUAAGACUAUUUAUUGACUUUAAUUUCCUUAACCCUCACAACAACGUGGAAGGAGGGUGUUAUUAUCCCCAUUUUAUAUGUGAGGAAACUGAGGCUCUGAAAUGCUGGCUUGCCCAAGGUCACGCCGGAAAUGAAGCAUGGAGCAGGGAUACAAACCCAGAUCUGGCUGCAAGGCGCCAGUUUCUGCUUCUAGUAACUGAAUAUUGAGCCUGCUUAUUGGAUUUGCAAAACAGAAAUGACCUUCAGAGGUGUUAGCACCGCAGCCAGAGUGAUCUUCCAAAAUGCAAAUGUGAUUCAGGCAUCCCCAGUCUCCUCCUGCUGCUUAAAGCCUUUAGGCGACUUCCCAUUGCUCUUAGGAUGAAAGAAAACCUAGGAGGCUUGGAGGCCUUGCACAAGUGGCCUUCUUCCUACCCAUCAUGCUGAAUCUCCCCAAACCUGCCCCAGCUCCACUAUGCCCCAGGUGCACAGGUACCACCCUAAGUCUCCACCACUCUGCUCCAGCCACACUUCUUUCUCAGUUUUUUAUAUUCUCUUCUCUCCCACCUCAGGGCCUUUGCACAUGCUGUUGUUGCUUCCAUAGACAGUCUUCCCUCUCCUCUGUCCCUUCUGAUCCCUCAGAUCCAGCUUAUAUGCAUUUUUCACAGAUCCUUCCGUGUCUGCCUAACCAAGUCAAACCCCAUGUUAUAAUGUUCGUAGUGCCAUGUACCUCUCCUUUAGAGUGUUUGCUCCUAUGCUAUUUAUGCUGCUCUGUGAUUUUCAGUUAUUGUUCCAAGCCCCCCACUACUCUGUGGGCUUCAUCCAAGAGGAGACCAGGUCUGCAUUGGCUCACCAUUCUUUCUCCAGCACUUAGCAUGAGGCCUGGCACUUAGAAGGGGCUCAAUAAAUAUUGGUUGAAUGAAUAAAUAAAUACAGCAAUGGGGAGCCAGAGAAUAAAGCUUUGCUCAGUCUUAUGCAGUGAACUCUGCGUUCUGUUUAUUGUUGUCUCUGCUGUGUUGGCUCCUGGAAUGACUAUAGUUCUGUCAAAGCUACACUUGUUUUGUUGAGGAACUUGCAAAUUCUGAAAGCUAACCUCCGAUGGUAAAAAUCUAAAACCUGAGUUGCUCAGAGGCUCCCGCUGUCUUAUCACCGGGGGUGACUCAGAGAAAAUGUCCUGAACAAACGCUGGUGUUUGGAGAGGCCCCUUGGAGCCAGCAAUGGAGCUGCCAACUCAUCGUAGGCUGCCCCACCCUCGGCGCCUGUAGACAGGCCCAGCGAGGAGGCCCCUCUGUGUCAUCUUGAAAGCAAAGCAGGACAAGCCAUAACAAAUAUCAUAGGGUGGCCAGCAGUGGCUGCGUCACUGGGAGGAUUGAGUGAGGAAAGGAGGGUUCCCCAUUCAUGAAGGACUCAAAUUUAGACUUUUGACAAUAUCUCUAACUGAGUUACCCACAGUGCCAAGGAGAUCCACUAACAGAACAGAAAGAUGUUGCCAGACGCCACGCCUGUCCCGUGUCCAUCCUCGCCUCCUGCAGCGCACUCUGAAUUCAAGCUUUUAAGAAGUCCUGGAUUUACCUGUGAAUAGCACAGUCGCCUUCUUUUCUUUGUUUGCUUGUGCAUUAAAAGGGCUAAUUUGUUAAGUAGAAUUAUUUUAAGACUUGUCACAGUUUUUGUGGCCCCGUUUUGACAUCUUUUCAUGUUCUAGUAUACUGGGAGCCUUGAAAAAAUUCAAGUAGCCAUGGACCCUCUCUGAGGUGAGCCCCUCUUCCUUCUUAAAGGCCCCAGACUCCCGAAGCCUUUCCCAGCCCCAAACCUUGGAGGUCAGAGUCCCUCAGAAGCUCCUCAAUCCUCCCUCAGGCACCCAGUUUCAGGCUAGUGAGCCUGGAUUGUUGGGGAGCCUUGAUUCUCCUUUCUUAGGGUCUUCAGAUCUUCCUCUCCCUCAGACUCCCUGAUGCCUGAGGCUGAUUUUAAUUAUGGGGAGGAGUUACCUGACAGCAGUGAGCAUUUGUAAUGUAACAUAACUGGAGCUGUAGAUUUGCCCUUUUUACUACAUUCUUCCCUCCCCAUAGCGCGACUUUUUCCAGCUUGUGGCCAAGGAGCCAAUGCUAAUUUUUAUGGCCCAUUUAAGUAACGCAAAAGAUAAGUAAUGUUGGCCCCAUGCACUCCCCCAGGUCCUAGCGGGUUUCACAGAGUGAAUAAUCCCAGGGCUUCGUGUCCUAAGCUCUGCAGCAUAAUACUCAACUCGAUUUUUUCCCCUUUCUUCUUUUGAUAGCGCCUUCCUUAGCUGUGGUUUGAUUAUUUUUAACAUUGCUUCCUGACUUGCUUUUUAAUUUGCAAGAAGCGGCGAGACAGAAAAGGAAGAGGGGAAAAAAAACCCUACAGAGAACAAGCAGUUGGGGUGUACUUCCUGGAAACAUCAGUGGUUUCUGGGUACCCUCUGCAAACAGCACCAAGAAACCAGACACCUGAAGGACCCAAGUCCCUCCACACUAAUGCUGUGGGGCUGACAGGCAGUCACCUGGCCUCCUUCUCCCUACACAUUCCAAGAGACAAGGAGAGGCUGCAGACCCGCCCCCAAGCUGUCUGUGCUAUCCAAGAUCUGCCCGUCUUCUGCCUGGGUUCAUUGUACUGUCCUUUGCAAGUUUGUCUCACCAGCUGCAUUCUGUCUACUCAGAGAGCAGGCAUCAGGUCAUAACCUUCUGUGUCCCUAGUUUGCCAGGCCAGAGAAGGAUCAUGCCAGUUGGUUGACCGAUGCAACCUCAGGUCAUUCCAGAAGCCCAGAACAACUGCAGUUGGACUUCAGUUAUCCAUUCAUCAGAAAGGCAUUUUCUGGAUUUUAGAGGGAAACCAGAAGUUGCUUUCAGCCUUCAUUCAUUCAUUCAUUCAUUCAAUGAGUAUUUAUUGAGCACCUACUCUCUGCCAAGCACUGUGCCAGACACUGGGGACUCAGCAAUGAACAAGACAGAGGGCCUGCUCUCCUGAAGCUUGUGUUCCUGUGCAAGGGAGGACAGGCAAUAAAUAUGUUCAUAGAAAUGGACCAGGUGAUGCUAAGUGCUCAAGGGGACAAAGAAGCAAGAUAAAGGAAGAGAAUAUAAAAGGAGAGGAUGCUGCCAGGUGGUCAGGGCAGGCCAGGAGGUGGGUGAAGCAGAGGAAAUUGGAGGACUUGCACCUGUCAGAGGUCGCAGAUCAAACAGCCAGGCAUGGAGACCCUGCACCCGAGCCGCCUCCCUUCCGUAGUCAGUUUGUGCCACAAUCAGGAAUCCUGGGUCACCCUGGUGGCCUGUAGAGAAUGUGAAUCAUCUUUGGAAGCCAAGGGAGAGAGAAAAGUUCCCUGCCUGUGCAGCCGGAAGAGAGUCUGGGGUAAGAAACGCUCCAUUCACGUCGUCAAUGGAACGUUGUUCUUGCUCAUUACUGAGGAGAGAAAGGGGACCUUCCCCUGUGGUUCAGGGGAAAGAAGGGGCCCCUGUGGGGAGAGAAACCUGCUCUGGUUAUCAGAAAAGAAACACCAACAGGGCCUAGGGGCCUAGAGAAAAGGAAAACGGACCCCACCCAUCAGCGUUCCCUUUGGAAGGGGCCAGAUGGAGACAUUUUAAAAGUGGAUCUCUAAAAAAUACUCCUUCCUUCCUUUUCUCUUUCUCACCAAGUGUUGGCAGAUAGGUAAGGGCUUAUUAUACAACAUGGGGUGACCUAAUGAGCACAGAAUAACUCUCUCGAGUGCAGUUGAAGGAUGUUGCCAUCACACCCCAACCCCUGAGGAGGGAAGCAAUUGCACAGAACCCCACUGUGGAUACCCCAAUAAUGAUAACUGACAUUCCUUGCGUCUAAGCACCAGGCCCUAUGCUUGGUACAGUAACUCCAUUAACCCUCACACCAGACUUGGGUGGUAGGUUUUAUCAUUAUGCCCAUUUUACAGAUGCAGAAGUUAAGGCUCCUGAGUGGAGGACCUUGCAAGGUCACACAGAUGGGAAGUGAUGGAGCUGGGAUUUGAAGGUCUGAGGUUUGACUCUGGAGCCCACGAUUAAACCUCUAUAGUCAACACUGCGCUGUCUGUUGGAUGCUCUUGUGAAUCCAACCCAGCCCUACGUCAGAGCUGGAAAAGUCAAGACGUGUGUAUGCUUUCCUGGUUUUGAUCUGGCCUCUGGGGGUACAAACACCCUGGAGCAUAACUGGGCUGGUUUAGCCUGAGGCUUCUGCCUCAAGUGGAUGCCACCGCACCCCCAGAGCUUCAGGCUGUGCACUUGGAGGACCUGAGAAGUUAUUCAGAUGGGGGAAAUUACCUUAAAAGUUAUACACACCGAGCUCACAUGGUGGAAAUGUCCCGAAUAUUCAUUUAGGUGAUUGUUGCUAUGCAGGUUUGUGGUUGUGAAUGUGCAUCGAGCCAUGUAGUGAAGUCCACUGCAUGGGUAGGGAAGCUCCUGGAAUAAAUUUACAGGAACAAGCCCAUAGCCAUUUUUUACCUUAAGGAUAACCUACUACUUUAUCAUUAGUCCCCAUCCCAGCCCUGGGGCUGUGAUGAUUCAGAAGGUUAUGGUAAGGAUUGAAUGAGAAAAUAUGCUCAGCCCAGCAUAUGUGGAAGCACAGUGACCUUUCUUCUUGUUAUUUUAAAUAUGCCUACUAUUUCCCUUUUCUUCCUUCAGUGUGUGUUGCUUGCAAGGUACCAAGUCAACCACAAGUUCAGUUUAGCUGCAGUGUGCUAGAAGCUGCUGUAAGAGAAGCCCUCUGGGUAUGUGACCAGAGCCCUCUGACCAAGCAACACUGCGUUCUGAUUGGUUGACAUCGCUUGUGGUCUGAGUGGUCUGCACUGCAGUCUGUGAUGUACACGAACAACUCUAUUUCACUCAGUCCAUGCUAGUUUUUAUUUGUUCUAAGUAAAUAUCUGACGAUGUCCGGUUCAAUAGAUUCUGCAGAUGGAAUUCUCCAAACACAGCUAACCGUAGAAGCCACAUGUUCAUUUAGGAUUGUUUUAUUCAGAGGGGAGGAGGGAGUGUGUGUGUCUAGGUGUGUUUAGGAAGUGGUGACAGGGUGCUUUAAGCAGAUCCAGAUCUCCUGCGUACACACGAAGAGACAGUAGCAGGGCAGUUACAGGCACAGUUUCUGAGUCAGAUGUCUGCAUUUCGAUCCUGGAGCUCCCCUGGGAGCUUGAGCAAGUAACUCAUCCUUUCUCUGCCUCAGCUGUCUCACCUAUAAAAUGGGGAUGGUAAUAUCACCCAUGUCAUAGGUUGCUAUGAGGAUUAAAUGAUUUAUAUACAAAAAGCACUUAAAACAGUGUCUGGCAGAUAGUGAGCCUCUGCAAGUGUUAGCUGUUAUUAUUAUUUUCCUCUCUCUUCCCAUGUACCACCUCCCCUACAAUCCAGCCAGAAUAUGCAAGCAAAUGAGUGUGUAUGUGUAUAUGUAUGGACUGGCUUCAUAUAGUACCCUGUUGUUGUUGUUGUUGCUUCAUUUUGUUUCUUAAUAUCCUAAGUAAUACGUGAAUAUAACCUCAUGUUUUUAAAAAACAAAAAACUUCAAACAACGCUGGUGUAGUGGAUUCAAUAAUGUCCCCCAAAAUUCCCAUUCACCUGGAACUUAGGCUGUGACCUUAUUUAGAAAUAGAGUCUUUCAAGAUGUAAUUAGUUGGAUAUCGUGAAAUGAAAUCAUCCUGAUUUAGAGUGGGCUCUAAAUCCCAUGACUGAUGUCCUUUGUGUUAUAAGCUAGUAUGACCUCAGUAAAAUAAAAUUAACAAAAAGGAAAGGAGAGAGCACACACAGACACACAGGGAAGAAGACAAUGUGAUGACGGAGGCAGAGAUUGGAGUGAUGCUGCCACAUGCCAAGGAACACCUGGGACCACCAGGGACCCCAAGGAACACCAAGAAACUAGAAGAAGCAAGGGAGGAUUCUUCUCUAGGCCUUCCUGGCCCUGCUGACACCUUGAUUUUGGAUUUCUAGCCUUCAGAAUUGGGAGAGAAUAAAUUCCUAUUGUUUUCAGCCUCUAGUUUGUGAGAAUUUGUUACCGCAGCCCUAGGAUACUGAUACUGCCAGGAAAGCCAAAGUUACCCCGUCCACAGCACACAGUCUCCCAUCCACCCCUCUCUCAGCAGUAGUGUCACUUUGUUGCCUUUCGAGACCUUUUUCUAUGUCCUGACACACAUCUCCAACAUAUCCAUCUAGUUGACAACAAACACAUUUGGAGAAUGUGGCUAAAUCAUUUUUAUUACAGAAGCCUGACAUUCUGCAGCGUGGAUUGCAGUCCAGCGGCUGUGGACAAGGCCUGCUGCUGCUCCCUGGGGACCUCAGAGACUGUCUCCUGUGUCUCCCAUGAGCAUUGCCUCUGAUUUACAGUAAUGAAGACAAGGAAAUUCUCGAGAACUGUGUCCCAUAGGCUUUCAGGGUAAUUUCAACAACCCUACUUCCUCUUUCUUAUUCAGGUUAUGUUCUGGUCCACCUUAGUCAUCUUCUGCAAAUCUGAUUCAUAUGGGUCCGUUAUAUUAAUAUACGUCCAUUCUCUCUAAGAACUGGAAGCUGCCAUUUGAAGAAUGGCCACAUCUUCCCGCUGUGAGCAUGAUACAUAGUCAUCGAUGACCUGAAAAGGGAUCUUCGCAUACAAAGUUUCGAACUGAAAGAAUAUUAGAAAUCACGUAGGCCAGUGACUCUUAACAAUUUGGGAGUUAUAGCCCCUUUUGAGACUCUGAUAAAAGUCCCCUUCCUUGGACUAUGCACUGAACACAUAAAAUAUAAUCUCAGGCCAGGUAAAAAACCCCCUUGUGCCAGGUUAAAAACCCCCUUGUUUUACAUAUAAGGAAAAUCAGCCUCCAAAAUUAAAGCAAAAAAGGGCUCAGAGGGUUCUGGUGGCAGAGAAAGAACCCAGAUUCUCCAUGCCCCACUACCUCCCUGAGGUUCUCUCUAUCUCAGUCUGAAGACCCCAGUUUGCCAACAGGAGCGACAAAGGUGGAGAAAGGGGCGUGGAGGGCUGCCCUGGAUUGAUGGAGCUGAUGGUCAGAGGAAGGCGAGAGUACAAGGUCUACACCUUGGACACAGAUAGUGGCCAGGACACCACAGUGGGUUCCCGGGACUUAGCACUCCUCCAUUCUCCACUAAGACCAAGACAAAAGAAAAGAACUUUAUAUGAGAGCAACAAGGCCUUGGAUAACACAGAAUUUAUUUUAAGUAACAAUCUUUGCAUUUCUGAAAGAAGUUUAUAUAAUGUCCUCUGCAGGCCUCUUAAAAAUAGAAUAGCAUCUCAUCUUUCUAAGAUAAUUUGAAUGUAGACAGAUACGGAGGCAAGAGGACCGACUAGUCAGAAUCUUAAAUACAUGGUCUGUGUAGGCCAUUCCUGCUUCCUUAGCCCAGAGCAGGCAUCACUCAUCUGCACUGCAGCAUUCUAAACCAGCUCCAGGUAUGGCCUCAGAAUCCUUCAUAACUCAGCACUGGAGAAGUUACUCCCAGUUGGCAAUGAGGUCUGCACCGUAUUCGCCAUCCUACCGCUAAAUGACCUUCCCACAUCAUUCGAGUCUCUUGUGAUUAGCUAUUUCCCUGUAGUCCCAUUUAAACUUUCUGAUGGCUUUCCUUGGUUCAGCAGAGGCCUAGAGACUUCCCCUUCUAGAGUAGUCAUCUCUCCUAGGAUUUCUUCUAACAGCUGUACUCCUACAUUCUUAGUCAUGUGAAAUAACUAAGAGAGCCCUACGUGUUCUUGUGUGUAACUUACUUCAGUUUACACAGACUGUGAAGAUAGCUCUAUACAGGUUUCAAGUUCAAUCUUCUCAUUGCCCGUGGGUCUCGCAUCUUAAUUUUUGAUAUCCUCUUUUGUAUUAGUGACUUCUCUCUCUCUCUGGACUAAAUCUCUAAUGUUUUAUUUUGAAGGAAGAAAAAGCAGACUGACACAAGUCUGUGCUGCAUCACGAAGUUGAGAGACAAUGACAGAGGAAGGAUUGGGUAAACAGUGGAGUCCUAUCGACACAGUGGAAUACUACUUAACAAUGAAAAAAGAACUACUGAUACAUACGACAACUUGAAUGGAGCUCAAGGGCAUUAUGUUGAGUGAAAAAAGCCAGUCUCAAAAGAUCUAUCCAUGUUUUCAAAUUCUUUCAAUAAGUAGAAGAAUGCAUUCCAAGUGGAGGACUAUUAGGAAGAAAGAUCCAGGAUUGAUAUGACCCUGGAAUCAUCUAUGCACUUGAUUCUAAAAUGGAAAAUGUCCUUUAAAUGGAACAGGUUCCAGAUGAUCCUCUGAGGAGCUUCGCUUUGACGUGAAGCUGGACAGAGAUGAUCCAUUGCGAGCCAUUGACUCUGAUCUUCAAGGCUCUUAUUCUCAAAAGUCACAGAAGCAUCACCACAGUUGUCAACCUUUGAAGACUAAGGUAUUGCAACAUCGUGAUGAAGGCAAACUACAGUAGAUGCCAGAGUUGAAGACCAGUCCUCAAACCUCAGGUGGACCCUAGAAAAUCCCUCUGGAGAGACAAAUUCCUGAUGCCAGCCUUAAAACACUGUUCAAACUCUCUCCUUUCACCAGGCUGUAGGGAACAACCAACAGUUUGGCAAAGGACAACUUCCACCACGUUGACUCUGGCCAAUUGAGAUUCUAUUGUCUUCAGAGAAGAAUGCUCACGAGUAUAGAUGCUGAAUAACAUAGUGGAUCUCAAGGAAUUGUCCCCCCAAAUACUUUUUACUUACCAAAGGUAAAAUAAUAAUUUUACAGUGGGGAAACCUGGCAGACACCACCUUAACCAAAUGACCAAAGAUAACCUUGCAGCAAUGGGACUAAUCAGUAUUAGUCCCAUUGUCUCCUCAUAGGACGCUCUGAGAAGAACUCAGCCUUAUUCCUGUGAUAUUCUACCAAAAGCGCAUGACUUGAAUCUAGUCAUAAGGAAACAUCCAACAAAUCUGAGUAGAGGGAGAGUCUACAAAAUAACUGGUCUGUACUCUUCAAAAAUGCCAGUGUCGAGAGAAAGACAGACUCAGGAAACUGUUCCACUUCACAGGAGACUGAAGACACAAGAUGACUUAAUUCAAAUCUUGGAUUGUUUUUGCUGUAAAAGACAUUGUUGGGACAAUUGACAAAAAUCUUAAUAAGCUCUGUAGAUUAGGUAAUAACAUUGUUUCAUUGUUAAUUUCCUGGUUUUGAUCAUUGUCCUAUGGUCACGCAAGGGAAUUCAUGCUUUUAGGAAAUACAGACAAAAGGUCAUCAUAUCUGUGGCUUACUCUUAGAUGGGCAUGAGAGCAAAUGAUGGAAAUGAUGGAAAUGCUCCAUAUCUUGACUGUGGUGGUGGUUACAAUGGUUACACGAACGCACCUAUUUGUCAAAGUUCAUCAAACUUAAAUGCAUGAAUUUUAUUGUUUGUAACCAUACCUCAAUCAAUAAAGCUGAUUUUUUAAAAAUGCUUUUCAUUUUGAUAUUGUAUAUUAUUUUGUGAAGUAACUACUCAAGUAAUAAGUCAUAUGAACUAAUUUUCUGGGUUUUAUGUGUAUAAUUUUGUGUUGAUUGAUUGAUUGCCUAAUCUGAUGCAUGAAAUUCAAUAAAUUGUCACUGAACUGUUAGAA
Equus caballus (horse) is the source of this 12325-nucleotide long non-coding RNA. RefSeq lists it as uncharacterized. The record is from RefSeq and is a predicted model, not a curated record. Lineage: Eukaryota; Metazoa; Chordata; Mammalia; Perissodactyla; Equidae.